CGGUGCGAUCAUACCCGCACUAAUGCAUCAGAUCCAAUCAAAGCUCCCCAGUUAAGCAUGCUUGGGAAAGAGUAAUACUAGGAUGGGUGACAUCCUAGGAAGUCCUCGUGUUGCACCCU
Molecule: ribosomal RNA, 119 nt
Filed under: Beta vulgaris subsp. vulgaris (sugar beet)
Lineage: Eukaryota; Viridiplantae; Streptophyta; Magnoliopsida; Caryophyllales; Amaranthaceae
Source: RNAcentral